GUUAUAUGAUCAAGUAAUUAAGAGCACAAGGCGGAUGCCUUGGCAGCUGAAGGCGAUGAAGGACGUAGUAACUUGCGAUAAGCUUCGGGGAGGUGGUAAACAACCUUUGAUCCGGAGAUUUCCGAAUGGGGGAACCCAGUGUGCAUAAGCACAUUAUCUUAUACUGAAUACAUAGGUAUAUGAAGCAAACCUAGGGAACUGAAACAUCUAAGUACCUAGAGGAAAAGAAAUCAAUAGAGAUUCCGGUAGUAGCGGCGAGCGAAACCGGACCAGCCCUUAAGCUUUUUUAAGAUUAGCAAAACAGACUGGAAAGUCUGGCCAUAGUAGGUGAUAGCCCUGUAUGCGAAAAUCUUUUAAGAGUGAAAUCGAGUAGGUCGGAACACGUGAAAUUCUGACUGAAUAUGGGGGGACCAUCCUCCAAGGCUAAAUACUCUCAGCUGACCGAUAGUGAACUAGUACCGUGAGGGAAAGGCGAAAAGAACCCCGG
RNAcentral lists this ribosomal RNA (487 nucleotides) under SAR86 cluster bacterium BACL1 MAG-121128-bin56. RNAcentral describes it as "bacterial LSU rRNA". It matches the Rfam family "Bacterial large subunit ribosomal RNA", at positions 1 to 529 of the family's 2925-position model. The record is from RNAcentral. Lineage: Bacteria; Pseudomonadati; Pseudomonadota; Gammaproteobacteria.